This 587-nucleotide ribosomal RNA is filed under the name uncultured bacterium. Its description in RNAcentral is "bacterial SSU rRNA". It matches the Rfam family "Bacterial small subunit ribosomal RNA", at positions 102 to 688 of the family's 1533-position model. The record is from RNAcentral.
ACGGGUGAGUAACGCGUGGGAAUCUACCUAUCGGUGAGGAAUACCCUCGAGAAAUCGAGGUUAAUACUGCAUACGUCUAGAAAUAGAGAAAGGUGGCUUUAUGCUAUCGCCGAAAGAUGAGCCCGCGUACUAUUAGCUAGUUGGUAGGGUAAUGGCCUACCAAGGCGACGAUGGUUAGCCGGCCUGAGAGGGUGUACGGCCACACUGGAACUUAGACACGGUCCAGACUCCUACGGGAGGCAGCAGUGAGGAAUAUUGCACAAUGGGCGAAAGCUUGAUGCAGCGACGCCGCGUGGAGGAUGAAGGUCUUAGGAUUGUAAACUUCUGUUAAGUGGGAAGAAAAGCUGAAUGCUAAUAUCAUUCAGUAAUGACGGUACCAUUAGAGAAAGCACCGGCUAAACUCGUGCCAGCAGCCGCGGUAAUACGAGUGGUGCAAGCGUUAUUCGGAAUAAUUGGGCGUAAAGGGUGCGCAGGCGGUGUAUUAAGUCAACUGUUAAAUGCCCCAGCCAAACUGAGGAACAGCAGUAGAUACUGGUACGCUAGAGAGUGGAAGAGAGAAGUGGAAUUCUUGGAGUAGCGGUAAAAUG